Molecule: ribosomal RNA, 415 nt
Filed under: uncultured bacterium
Lineage: Bacteria
Description: bacterial SSU rRNA
Rfam family: Bacterial small subunit ribosomal RNA
Source: RNAcentral
UGGGGAAUAUUGGACAAUGGGCGCAAGCCUGAUCCAGCAAUUCCGCGUGGGUGAAGAAGGUCUUCGGAUUGUAAAGCCCUUUCGUUGGGGACGCGGUACCCAAAGAAGAAGCCCCGGCUAACUUCGUGCCAGCAGCCGCGGUAAUACGAAGGGGGCUAGCGUUGCUCGGAAUGACUGGGCGUAAAGGGCGCGUAGGCGGCACAACUCGUCAGGCGUGAAAUUCCUGGGCUUAACCUGGGGGCUGCGUUUGAUACGGUUGGGCUAGAGGAUGGAAGAGGCUCGUGGAAUUCCCAGUGUAGAGGUGAAAUUCGUAGAUAUUGGGAAGAACACCGGUGGCGAAGGCGGCGAGCUGGUCCAUUACUGACGCUGAGGCGCGAAAGCGUGGGGAGCAAACAGGAUUAGAUACCCGGGUAGU